ACCUGGCUGGCUCAGUCAGAAGAGCACGCGACUCUUGAUCUCAAGGAUGUGAGUUCGAGCCCCACGUUGGGUG
RNAcentral lists this transfer RNA (73 nucleotides) under Ailuropoda melanoleuca (giant panda). It matches the Rfam family "tRNA". Rfam says of the family: Transfer RNA (tRNA) molecules are approximately 80 nucleotides in length. The record is from Rfam by way of RNAcentral. Lineage: Eukaryota; Metazoa; Chordata; Mammalia; Carnivora; Ursidae.